AAACCAGCACCUCAAGUGGUCAGGAUGAUUAUUGGGCCUAAAGCAUCCGUAGCCUGCUCUGUAAGUUUUCGGUUAAAUCUGUAUGCUCAACAUACAGGCUGCCGGGAAUACUGCAGAGCUAGGGAGUGGGAGAGGUAGACGGUACUCGGGAGGAAGUGGUAAAAUGCUUUGAUCUCUCGAUGACCACCUGUGGCGAAGGCGGUCUACCAGAACACGUCCGACGGUGAGGGAUGAAAGCUAGGGGAGCAAACCGGAUUAGAAACCCCGGUAGUCC
Molecule: ribosomal RNA, 274 nt
Filed under: uncultured bacterium
Lineage: Bacteria
Description: partial 16S ribosomal RNA
Rfam family: Archaeal small subunit ribosomal RNA
Source: RNAcentral